GCCGGGUGCGGUGGCGGGCACCUGUAAUCCCAGCUACUCAGGAGGCUGAGGCAGGAGAAUUGCUUGAACCCAGGAGGCAGAAGUCACAGUGAGCCAAGAUCGCACCACUACACUCCAGCCUGGGCAACAGAGUGAGAUUCUGUCUCAA
RNAcentral lists this non-coding RNA (148 nucleotides) under Chlorocebus sabaeus (green monkey). The record is from Rfam by way of RNAcentral. Lineage: Eukaryota; Metazoa; Chordata; Mammalia; Primates; Cercopithecidae.